This 2099-nucleotide ribosomal RNA is filed under the name human gut metagenome. RNAcentral's name for it is "bacterial LSU rRNA". It matches the Rfam family "Bacterial large subunit ribosomal RNA", at positions 438 to 2541 of the family's 2925-position model. The record is from RNAcentral.
UCGAAGAUGGGGGGACCAUCCUCCAAGGCUAAAUACUCGUGAUCGACCGAUAGUGAACCAGUACCGUGAGGGAAAGGCGAAAAGAACCCCGGGAGGGGAGUGAAAUAGAACCUGAAACCGCAUGCAUACAAACAGUAGGAGCCUCGUCAGAGGUGACUGCGUACCUUUUGCAUAAUGGGUCAGCGACUUACAUUCUGUGGCGAGCUUAACCGAAUAGGGGAGGCGCAGCGAAAGCGAGUUCGAAAUGAGCGUCCAGUCGCAGGGUGUAGACCCGAAACCAGAUGAGCUAUCCAUGGCCAGGUUGAAGGUGUGGUAACACACACUGGAGGACCGAACCGACUAGUGUUGCAAAAUUAGCGGAUGAGCUGUGGAUAGGGGUGAAAGGCUAAACAAAUCUGGAGAUAGCUGGUUCUCCCCGAAAACUAUUGAGGUAGUGCCUCGUGUAUGACUCCAGGGGGUAGAGCACUGUUUUGGCUAGGGGGACAUGGAGUCUUACCAAACCAAGGCAAACUCCGAAUACCUGGAAGCGUGAGCACGGGAGACAGAGCACCGGGUGCUAACGUCCGGACUCAAAAGGGAAACAACCCAGACCGCCGGCUAAGGUCCCUAAUAUUGACUAAGUGGAAAACGAAGUGGAAAGGCUAAGACAGUCAGGAAGUUGGCUUAGAAGCAGCCAUCCUUCAAAGAAAGCGUAAUAGCUCACUGGUCGAGUCCUUCUGCGCGGAAGAUGUAACGGGGCUAAGCUGUUAACCGAAGCCGCGGAUGCACUGAUUAUUCAGUGCGUGGUAGGGGAGCGUUCUGUAAGUCUGCGAAGGCGGUUCGAGAGGACUGCUGGAGAUAUCAGAAGUGCGAAUGCUGACAUGAGUAACGUUAAAGCAGGUGAAAAGCCUGCUCGCCGUAAGCCCAAGGAUUCCUGCUCUACGUUCAUCGGAGCAGGGUGAGUCGGCCCCUAAGGUGAGGCUGAGAAGCGUAACUGAUGGGAACAAGGUUAAUAUUCCUUGACCACCGCUGAAUGCGAAGGGGGGACGGAGUAUUGAAGAUCAUCCGGGUGUUGGAUAUCCCGGUUUGCGAGCGUAGGAGGCUGACAGGCAAAUCCGUCAGCGAAUCUCCGAGGCAAAGCAUCGAGCUCUCUUUUGAGCGAAGUGAUUGGAUGUGCUUCCAGGAAAAGCCUCUAAGCUCCAGUUCAGCGGGACCGUACCGCAAACCGACACUGGUGGGCGAGCUGAAUAUGCUCAGGCGCUUGAGAGAACUCGGGAGAAGGAACUCGGCAAAUUGACACCGUAACUUCGGAAGAAGGUGUGCCGUAGUACCGUGAGAGGAGAGACACCUUGAGCGGGAAUCGGUCUCAGAGAAUAGGUGGCUGCGACUGUUUAUUAAAAACACAGCACUCUGCAAAGUCGAAAGACGACGUAUAGGGUGUGAUGCCUGCCCGGUGCUGGAAGAUUAAUUGAUGGGGUGAGAGCCCUUGAUCGAAGUCCCAGUAAACGGCGGCCGUAACUAUAACGGUCCUAAGGUAGCGAAAUUCCUUGUCGGGUAAGUUCCGACCUGCACGAAUGGCAUAACGAUGGCCACACUGUCUCCUCCCGAGACUCAGUGAAGUUGAAAUGUUUGUGAUGAUGCAAUCUACCCGCGGCUAGACGGAAAGACCCCAUGAACCUUUACUGCAGCUUUGCAUUGAACUGUGAACCGAUUUGUGUAGGAUAGGUGGGAGGCAGAGAAGAGGCCACGCCAGUGGUCUUGGAGCCGACCUUGAAAUACCACCCUGAUUUGUUUGCGGUUCUAACCACGGACAGUGAUCCUGUCUUGGGACCGUGCAUGGUAGGCAGUUUGACUGGGGCGGUCUCCUCCUAAAGGGUAACGGAGGAGUGCGAAGGUACGCUAGGUACGGUCGGAAAUCGUGCUGAUAGUGCAAUGGCAAAAGCGUGCUUGACUGCGAGAGCAACAACUCGAGCAGAUGCGAAAGCAGGUCAUAGUGAUCCGGUGGCUCUGAAUGGAAGGGCCAUCGCUCAACGGAUAAAAGGUACUCUGGGGAUAACAGGCUGAUACCGCCCAAGAGUUCAUAUCGACGGCGGUGUUUGGCACCUCGAUGUCGGCUCAUC